RNAcentral lists this small nuclear RNA (148 nucleotides) under Castor canadensis (American beaver). RNAcentral describes it as "U12 minor spliceosomal RNA (ENSCCNG00000004059.1)". The record is from Rfam by way of RNAcentral. Lineage: Eukaryota; Metazoa; Chordata; Mammalia; Rodentia; Castoridae.
AUAACUUAUAUUUAUAAGUAAGGAAAAUAACAGAAUAUGGUGACACCCAAAUUCAGAGCUAAUGUGAGACAAUUUUUGAGGUAGUGAAGGUUGUCUUUAAAGUGACUCACCUACUUUGUAGAAUGCCUGGGAAUAGCAAUCCAACCAC